RNAcentral lists this ribosomal RNA (510 nucleotides) under Triticum aestivum (bread wheat). RNAcentral describes it as "partial small subunit ribosomal RNA". The record is from RNAcentral. Lineage: Eukaryota; Viridiplantae; Streptophyta; Magnoliopsida; Poales; Poaceae.
AUGGCCUCCGACCGCCUCAGCGCCCUCCGGGCCUUCGACGACACCAAGGCCGGCGUCAAGGGCCUCGUGGACGCCGGCGCCACCGCCAUCCCGGCCAUUUUCCACCACCCACCCGACGCCUUCGCCCCGUCCACUGUCGCCACCGACGUCGCCGUUCCAAUCGUCGACCUCUCCUGCGAGCGCUCGGCCGUGGUCGGCGCGGUGAGGGCCGCGGCGGAGACGGUGGGCUUCUUCCUGCUGGCGAACCACGGCGUGCCGGAGGCGGCCAUGUCGGGGAUGCUGGCGGCGCUGGUGUCCAACGACAGGUUCAAGAGCCCGGUGCACCGCGUGGUGUCCAAGAGCGUGGGGCCCCGGGUGUCGGUGGCGUGCUUCUUCAGGGCGAACGGCCCGACGGUGUGCGCCCCGGUGGUCGUCAACGGGAGCGGACCGCCGCGGUACAGGAGCAUCAAGGCGGAGGAGAUGCUCUGCAUGUCCAAGACACAGACACGGCUCAACAACGUGAGGCUCUAG